Molecule: small nuclear RNA, 103 nt
Filed under: Solanum tuberosum (potato)
Lineage: Eukaryota; Viridiplantae; Streptophyta; Magnoliopsida; Solanales; Solanaceae
Source: RNAcentral
GUCCCUUUCCUAAACAUCCAAUAAAAUUAGAACGAUACAGAGAAGAUUAGCAUGACCUCUCCACAACUAUGACACACAAAUCAAGAAAAUGUUUCAUUAAUAC